Molecule: ribosomal RNA, 254 nt
Filed under: uncultured bacterium
Lineage: Bacteria
Description: partial 16S ribosomal RNA
Rfam family: Bacterial small subunit ribosomal RNA
Source: RNAcentral
UACGGGGGGAGCAAGCGUUGUUCGGAUUUACUGGGCGUAAAGGGCGCGUAGGCGGUCAGCACAAGUCAGUUGUGAAAUCUCCGGGCUUAACUCGGAAAGGUCAACUGAUACUGUGCGACUAGAGUGCAGAAGGGGCAACUGGAAUUCUCGGUGUAGCGGUGAAAUGCGUAGAUAUCGGGAGGAACACCGGUGGCGAAGGCGGGUCUCUGGGCCGAUACUGACGCUGAGGAGCGAAAGCGUGGGGAGCGAACAGG